This is a non-coding RNA of Oryctolagus cuniculus (rabbit), 3063 nucleotides long. The record is from RefSeq and is a predicted model, not a curated record. Lineage: Eukaryota; Metazoa; Chordata; Mammalia; Lagomorpha; Leporidae.
UUUAUCUAUUUAUUUGAAAGGCAGAGUUACAGAGAGGGAGAGACAUACAGAGAGAGACAGAGAGUUCUUCCAUCUGCUGGUUCACUCCUCAGAUGGCUGAAACUGCCAGCGCUGGGCCAGGCCAAAGCCAGGAACCAGGAGCAUCAUCCGGGUCUCCUAGGUGGAUGGCAGGGGCCUAAACAUUUGGGCCAUCUUGCACUGCUUUCCCAUUAUAUUAGGAUAGGAAGUAGGAGGUAGGACAUGAACCAGCCCCCCACGGGAUGCCAGCAUUGCAGGUGGCAGCUUAACCAGCUACACCACUCAGUUCUAGCAACUUUCUAUGGAAGGUGGAUUUCUUCAUAGGCAAGACCCGCAUUUUGACUUUUGUCAUGAAAGUGUGUGUUUUCAUCUUUUGGAGCAAAACCUAGGGAAAGCCAACGUACUUUGCCUAAGAGGAAAUUUGGGGAUUCUUCAUGCCUGCAGAAUGGAGGAGAGGAAAAGAAGGGAAGGGAAGGAAGUAGGAAGCCAGGGAGAUAAAGGGAGGACCUCCCACCCCAGGAAGUGGGUUUCCUUUGCUUCCCUCUUGAGCUGAUUGAACAAUGCACACACCGUGCUUGAUGUGAGUGGGUUUCUCGUGGACAGUAAAGAAAGGGCUGUGUGUUCUGGGCUAUGUGGUGUACAACAGAAACAGUUUGUAACAGACGAGGAGCCCAGAGGAGCAAAAGGAGGAAGAGGACCUAAGCAGCCCUUUGGCCCUUGGGUGGACAGCAUCGAGCUCUGCCCAAAUCCUUUCUACAGUGAGGGAUUUUGUGGGUGGGGUGGUCGGGUGGCACUCACACCCAGAGUCUGAGAGAGAUGAUGGCCAACAGCCCUUACCUGAGUUUGCUCCCGUGGAUCCUGUCUGCUGGAGAGAGGGAAGAGCACAUCCAGAGACUGGUCAGUGUGGGGCAGGAAGGUCAGGCCCUUGGCCCAAAUUUGGUGGAGCUCUGCAAGGCCAUUCUGGCUGCUGAACUCCCUGUGGGAUUGUCUGAGACUUCAUUGACAUUGAAUCCUUGUAGCCCAGCUUCCUCCUCUUCCUGCUUCCUUUGUUUCCUCACAGAUGUUCUUGGGAGCACUCCUCAAGUCCUGCACACAACUGGUAUCUCGUGGUGUGCCACUGGGGAACCCAACCUGUGAAACGUGCUGAUCUCCUCAGGACUCGCAGAGAUCUUGGGCAAGGACUCAGAUUUCCAUGAAUGCUACAGGUGAUGGGGAGGAGGAGACAGCAAUUUUACCUGUGUCUGAUGAGGGUGGCAGGAAAGCCCAGGCUACUUCUGCUUUCUAUUUAAACAGCCUGGGCUAAGAGGCACAGAAGCUGGGCCACUAAAAGGUAAACAACAUUUUGCCAACUGAAAAAUAAGAUGAGAUAAAGGCACUGCUGCUGCCUGCGAAAACUUCAUUAGCAAUAAAUGAGUUACCAGAUGUGACACAUCAGAUUUGAAAUUAAAAUAUAUUCCCAGUAUUUCUGUGCAGUCUGGGUAGGAGUUAAAAAGGAACUUUUUUUCAAGAUAAUGCAUCAUGUUUUUGCCUUCUGACUGUGCCUCCUGUAAAUGUAAAAUAAAAUGCAUCCCUUGGUGUGUAAAAUGGAAAGACAGCGUUUCUGCUUAGAAGGACCACGUGGUGCGGCAGCACAUUACUCAUACAGCAGCAACUCUCUAAGACAGGAGCCUAUUUUUGAACACUCUGUGCCACACCAUGACCACCAUCUCCUCGGCAACUUCUCGACUUCACUUUCAGCAAGCCAGCUCUGCUUUUAUUAUCAGCAACAAAACCAUUCAAGUCAGCAACUGUCAACAUCAACUCUACUCUUCCUGAACUCUGCUAUCACAACCACCCUGUUAGUGCUCCCCCUUCUUCAGGAGAUAUAAAGACUUUCCUCUUGUUCUUCCAGCUAGCUAAGCCGACUCUGCUCUUGUCCACAGAGUUACAAACCUCCAAUUCAAAAGCAAUUGUGGUUAGGGAGGGAACCCCACAGUAGGAAAUAGGAGAGCACAAUUUCGCUUGAGCCAGCAAAAAUUUCAAAUGAUAAGCCACUGUGUUAGAAAUAGCUAACAUUCUCUAGUUUUUAUAAACAAAUAUUUUUGGCUGAACUUCUUCAGCCUAGUUCCUUCAAAGUUUCAAAAUCUUUGCGGUUCCUCAGUUCCAGAUGAUGACAAUGGGAGUUUGAAACCAUUUAUUUAUUUUUUCUCCCCAAUUAACUUUGGUUCUUAUCUCCUGCAAGAUGGGUAAAGCUUAUAAAUCAAAUUAAAGAGUGAAAGUGAGUAAUCAUUCUCAAGCGUCCUCUUGGAAAAUAUUUACAUAGGACUUUUUACACAUAGAAACCUCCCAAAGCACUUAAAAGUUUAUUUCUGCAUCAUUACCUACUCAUCAGAUGUGUGGGAUGUAGUUUCUAAAUAUGCCCUUUGACCUUCUCAGAAAGGAAAACAGCAUCACUGAGAUGAUUAGUUAUGUCAAUGAGGAAAAUGUCCAUUUAAUUUUCUUAGCCAUGAAACUUGAACACAGAGUGACAUCCGAGUGCUCAUUUAAGCUUAUAAAAUUUGCAGUUAGUUUUUAUUCUGUAUUUCUGCUGGUAUCUGAUUCAUAGCAAAGGUUUAUAGUGACUUACCAGUAAUAAUAACAUUUAUCAUUUGUGAUUAAUUGAAUACUUGCUUGUGUUAAUUGACUUUUCUACAAGACAUCACUAUUCUCAUUUUUCAGAUGAAGAAAUAGACUUAGAGAGCACGUCCUUAUGUUUUUGACAUUCUAUAAGUGAUGUCUCCAGGCCCUGUAGGCUUCUUAUUUUGGGGAGGAAGAUCAUCUCUUUAUUCUGCAGUCCAGUGCUUCUUAUGAGGAAGUUAUUUUGCCCUCCAAGGACAUCUGGCAAUGUUUGGAGAUAUUUUUUAUUUUUGCAAGAGAGGAGGAAAAGAGGAGGCUGUUACUAGCACCUGGUAGGUAGUGGGCAGCGAUACUGUUCAUCAUAUCAUGGUGCAUAGGACAGGGCACACAACAAAGGGUUAUCCAAACUGCACUGUACUGCUGUUGGGAUGUUCUGUUCCCUAGUUUAUU